RNAcentral lists this non-coding RNA (24 nucleotides) under Arabidopsis thaliana (thale cress). The record is from RNAcentral. Lineage: Eukaryota; Viridiplantae; Streptophyta; Magnoliopsida; Brassicales; Brassicaceae.
ACUCUAUCUGCAACACUCCGCCGU